UGCGUCCCGAUUUCCAUGAUGCCCGAUCGAGUCUCGGGUGAAAAUCAGCCUGUCUAUUUUUGGCGAAUGAGCAAUUUUUUCCGAAUAUAUAACCCUGAACUUUGCCUGAAUUCUCUUUGUCAUUACUGUCAUCAUCACUUCAGCCACCAGAGGUCCCUGUUGAAUCAGUCAACACACAUCAAAGUUGCUGGUGAACGCAGCAGGCCAAGCAGCAUCUAUAGGAAGAGGCGCAGUCGACGUUUCAGGCCGAGACCCUUCGUCAGGACUAACUGAAGGAAGAUUUCUGGAAGGAUUGGCAGGAUCCACCCUCAAACCCACAAGGAGGCUCAAAUCCCAGCAGUGUAUGUGGGUCAGAGAUGACCGGGGACUCAGGAUGGCUGGCGUUUUACAAGAUUCCCUGCGAAUGCAGAGCAGUGUAUAUCGGUCAGAUGAGACACACAGUGCAAACCCACACGAAGGAGCACAGAUGGUGUACCUGGAGAAAUCAGCAGUAGCAAAACGUUGCAUUUGCAAUGGCCAUAGGACCGUCUUUGACGGCACAAAAGUACCGUGCUGCACCGAUGGCUAAAGGGAGCCAUUGAAAUGAAACGAGAAAAAUUUUUUAACAAAGAUGAAGAUCUCGCUCUAAGUAAGAACUGGAAGUGGAUUGUAAACAAGGUGGCCCAGCAGAGACCCGACUGGAUGAGGACUAACCAAGAGGGAUGGAUGACAAAGAUAUAAAUACCACCACAACAGACAUGCCCAGGUAUCAUCCCCGAUGAAAAAGGCAGAGUUUGUCAUCGAAACAUCGGUUAAAAUUGAUGCCGGUACCUGGCUGAAAGCCCGAUGAAGAGUUUAUUCAUACUGUAUUUUGUUUUAUAAAUCAGUUUAUGUAUUCUACAGAACAAUUAUUCCAUUUUUGUACUAUUUUAUGCAUAUUAACCUAAACUGCUCACAGCCCGUAUUCUACAGUCCUACCAGACUACAUAAAACAUUUCAAAUUCCUUACGGGAUUAAAGAUCAGCUUGCAUUUAUGAACUUUAUUUUUAUAUUCGCAGAUGAAAACAUUUAACUAGACUUUUCUGUUCACAAUGUUAAACCUCUAAAAUGAACCCCGUACCAGCUCUGCCUCUUUACUACUGUUUAGUAACAUAACAGUUACAGAUUUUUGUAUUGGUAAUGCCAGAUAUGCAUUACUCCAGUGGGCACCCAAGGUAGUUCUCCCAUCUCUGGAGACAGGAAUUUAAAAUGAAAGUCUAACAUUAAAGACAGAAAGAGCACUGUGAUAUAAACUGCAACCACUACUAAUUUCUUAAACCCAAAAUCACUGAUAACAUUGACAUUUUAAUCAACAAUUUGGCCCAUGCUACCUCAGCACUGUGACUCAUAUUUACUCCCCUACCCCAAGUCAUAAAACAGCACAGUUUUCUUCUCCUAUCUGGAACUGUCACCUCACUGUAAGGUAAAUGUACAGCAUUACACCAAUAGACCCAAAGCACAACAUCACUGAUACACUCCUGGGGGUAUAUAUAUUUAUUUCUGCUGCAUCGGAUUCAGAGUAACAAUUAAUUUGUUCUCUUUUACACUUUACUGUUAUAUUAUUUUGUACUCAUUUAUUGCUAUUUAUUUAUAUCUGCAUUUGCAGAGUUUGUUUACAGUUACUGUUCUACAGAUCUGCUAAGUUCUCAGUGUUGUAUGUGAUGACAUGCAUAUACUCUGAUAAUAAAUUUUACUUCAAGCUUUGAACUUGUCUACUAAUUGAACAAUCUUGAAUCAUGACCACUAGAUAGUUUCCAUGUACUAUGAGCUACAGUUAACCUUC
Mobula hypostoma (lesser devil ray) is the source of this 1801-nucleotide long non-coding RNA. RefSeq lists it as uncharacterized. The record is from RefSeq and is a predicted model, not a curated record. NCBI's taxonomy places the organism in Eukaryota, Metazoa, Chordata, Chondrichthyes, Myliobatiformes, Myliobatidae. The transcript is spliced from 3 exons.